Molecule: transfer RNA, 72 nt
Filed under: Bos taurus (domestic cattle)
Lineage: Eukaryota; Metazoa; Chordata; Mammalia; Artiodactyla; Bovidae
Also listed under: 1 other name
Rfam family: tRNA
About the family: Transfer RNA (tRNA) molecules are approximately 80 nucleotides in length.
Source: Rfam by way of RNAcentral
UCCUUGGUGGCUCAGAUGGUAAAGAGUCUACCUGCAAUGCAGGAGACCCAGAUUUGAUUCCUGGCUCAGGAA